Molecule: microRNA precursor, 110 nt
Filed under: Dinoponera quadriceps
Lineage: Eukaryota; Metazoa; Arthropoda; Insecta; Hymenoptera; Formicidae
Description: microRNA dqu-mir-2796 precursor
Rfam family: mir-2796 microRNA precursor family (bases 25-101)
Source: miRBase by way of RNAcentral
GUCGGCGACACUUCACUAUAAAAGCGACAAGAAAAGGGGUUUCUAUCGGCCUCCAGCAGCUACGAUGGUUGUAGGCCGGCGGAAACUACUUGCUCUUGUCGCUAACGAUC